RNAcentral lists this ribosomal RNA (501 nucleotides) under Triticum aestivum (bread wheat). RNAcentral describes it as "partial small subunit ribosomal RNA". The record is from RNAcentral. Lineage: Eukaryota; Viridiplantae; Streptophyta; Magnoliopsida; Poales; Poaceae.
AUGGCAGAGGAACCGUCCGCCAAGCAUCAUCAUGCCGAGAUGUCGGACAAGAGGAGCAACCUCGUCGACAUUAACGUCCCCGGCGAGAAGCACGAGUACACAACAACCCUCAAAGGGGUUGAGCUCCACGGCAACGAGACGCUGGAGAUCGUCUGCACCAGCGUACUAGAAAAGGCCGACGAGGUGAUCUCCAGGCUCUGGAUGAAGCUUGGCGGCAGGUUUCGUAGGAUCGUCGGCGUUGGUGUGCACUACACCAACGAAGAUGAACCUCCCCAGAUGGCAGCAGUCCUGCAGUUGUGCGUCGAUGAACCCUGCUUGGUGUACCACAUCGCAGCGGCCACAAAAUGGCCCAAGCGCCUGACCGAGAUGCUGCAGCAUGACAAGUUGUUCACAUUUGCCGGUUUCAGCAUUGAAAGCGACAAAGAGAAGCUGAAGUUGUCCGAUAUGGAGAUCAACCCCAACAAGUUCAUCGACAUUCAGCGCAAGUGGAGAGUUCCAUAA